RNAcentral lists this long non-coding RNA (5249 nucleotides) under Sus scrofa (pig). Its description in RNAcentral is "lncRNA (ENSSSCG00000060384.1)". Lineage: Eukaryota; Metazoa; Chordata; Mammalia; Artiodactyla; Suidae. The record is from RNAcentral.
UUCUGGUGCCAGCUAGUCAAGUUCAAAUCUCAGCUUUGGCACUGAUGAUUUAUUAUCUUGAGUAAAUGGGUUAAACUCUUUGCACCUUUCCUUUCUCCUCUGUAAAAUAUAAUUAGCAGUAGUGUCUACUUCAAGGCUGUUACAAAGAUGGAGUAAGUUAAUAUUUAUAAAGCACUUAGUGGCUGGCGAUAGGAAGGGCUAUGUAAGUAUUUGAUAAAUAAGCAAUGAAGUUUGGAGAAGGCUCAUUGGAGCAAGGAGAGAGGGCGUAUUAGGAGAGCUGAGUCAUCUCAUUCCUUGUGAACACUAGCCUAGCACUGAGAAACAAGAAAUGGAAAUAUUUUCAUGUUUUUAAAUUUAUGAAGAGGUAAAUUAAAAUCAGAAAAGAUGAAAGAGAUUAGCCUUAGGAACAAGGACUGAACAUGGAGAGGGAUGAGGUGUGACAGUGUCUCUUUUUUAUUUAAAACACACAUACAUGCACACACAAAACACACACACACAGUCAAGCAUAAGACAAAGGCUAAGGCCUGACAGGUUCAACUGGUGAAGGAACAAUGAAACAUUUUUAGAUAAAGGUGGUUUGUUACUCAUACAAACAGCAGAAGGAAGAGUAGCCAAAAGAGCCAGCUCCCUGUGGCCCUUACCCAGGGUGACACCCCGACAGAAGGCCAUAUGACCGCAGCUUGAGUGCUAGGACCCCCUUGUUGCGGGGCUUUAAAUUCUGCUCUACCUUGAGCAGGGAGAUUGGAGGCUUCUCACUUCAUCAGAACUUGGGAGGAGCUGAGAAACAAUCUCAUGACAGCCUCACUAGGAAGGCAGGGAGGAAGAUGGCCUCCCAGGGGUUCUUCCCAGACCUCCUAUGUUCUUCUGUCCUGGGACAGUCACAGACACUCAGCCAAGACCUAGAUCCGUGGUUCAAGCCUUACCUGUAUGCACGACCCAUGUGUGUACAUGCAAGAUAGCCAUGGCCAUGAUAUGACACAUGCACAUGUGCACAAAACACUGUAUUUAUGACUGUAAAUAUUGGUCAUUUCAUGGUAACAGUCUUCCACAUGUGCAUGUAUAUAGGAUAUAGUAGCCUCACAUAUAGAGCAUGGUAUAUGGUAUCAAUCACCAUACAGAGCACAUGGUGGGGAGGCUUUCACGUCUAGGCUGAGUCACCUGGACCUGCAAGAGCAGGGCUAGAUGACCCUCAGCAGGCAGGGAGAGGGACUGGGGCUGACCAGUGUCUGAGAAAGAGAAGAAGUUUCAUCCUUACAACUUGAACAAUGAGAAAACUGUCCCAAGAGGUGACAUUUACAGCAAAAGUUCAGGAAAAAAGUAUAGAGCAGUAGAGCGGUUUGAAAAUAAAUAACAGAAAUUACUAAGCUAAUCUGGAAAUGAAUAAUGUAAGUAAACUAAUCUGGUUCACUUAAAAAUGCACGUUAUCCUUUGAAAGUGUCAUCGAAAAUGAUAACAGAUCAGUGGGGCAGAAGAGUCAACAGGGGUCCUUUAGAUGACUCAGUAUUAUUCUAAACCCUCAAAAUAAAACUAUUUCACAGAGAACAGAAAUUGGCAGAUGACUCUGUUUAGGAAAGAAGGAGUGAUGCGAUAUUGAAAGAAAAUUUUCUGAGCCUGAGCUUUUUAACCUCUAAGACUAGGAUUAGAAAUUGUACCCCUUUUAUGUCACAAGAGACCCAUGCUUUAGAGAAAAAAUGAGUAAGAUAAGUCUAUGCUCCCCUGGCCUGUGCCACCUCUCCUCAUCCCACACGACACAGGUCAUUGCCCAGCGGCAUCUGGGAGAUAGCUGUGGGGAUAAUGGGACAUGUUAUGGAAUAUUAGAAGCUAUCAAAAUGUUUGAUUCAAGAGUUUGGAAACUUUUCUUACUUUGGGGUAAUUUUUUUUUCAAUACAAAUAUUAUGAUCAGCUUUAUCACUUCAUAAAGAGCUGUUCUGGAGUUAAGGCUCUGACCCAAGUCAGUUGUGGGAUCUUACACAUUAUUUUCCUGCCUUAAACCUAAGUUACCUCAAAAAAGGUAAAAUGUGGUUGAUGACACAGUCUUUGCUGAGUUGUGAGAAUUAAAUGAGAUAAUGCAUUUAGAUGCUUGGCAUUGUGCUUAGCACUUGGCAGACAAUAAGUAGAGCUGUUAGAAGUACUGAUAUUAUUAGAAUGACCAUUUUUCCAUAUGACGGUCCCAGUAAAGAGGGAAAUUGAUAUGUGGAAUUGCCAAGGGCUGAACUGAACAAAUUCUUCUGAUGCUACAAAUAGUACAUGCUCAGUAUUUUCUCUUUAUCUUAAUGUGUCCUUACUCGUUGAUCUCUGCUAGCCCCUCAUGUCAAGGGGAGGCAGUCUGUGGCUCCAGUUUCCCUGAUGCAGACACUGACUGAGCCUGUGAUGUGCAAGUUUCAGUGAUGUGCCCUUGGCUAAAAGCCAGUAAAGAAAGGAGUAAUUCUCAUCCUCAGUCUUACCUUCAUUCUGCAACUUAAAAAUACCUCCUGUCACCUGAUAUUUCACUAAAUCCUUCUCCAAUAAAAACCUGUUUUUCUUCUGAUGAUAUUAUGCUUUUCUAUGAUGAAAGCAAUUUGCUUCAAAUUUGGCCAACUCUCCAAAGCCCUUACCAUAGCAGGCUGAAAACAGGAUUUCCUAAGGAGAGACAUUCAAAGUCACAACACUAGUAAAUAGUGAGAACAGGGUCCAGAUGGUCCAUGUUUUAUGGAAAUACCUUUUAAUGUACCACAUGGCUUCUUGGACAGACUCAUUAAUGUGUUUUUGUGUUUGUGUGUAUGUUUUUCCUGCCAUAAGUGUAAACAUGUCACAUAGGUCCACCUGUCUCUCCCACCAGAGUGGACGAGAGCCUCCUUAUCAGGCAUAUACAAUAUGUCCAGCAUCCCUGGAGAGUGGGUAUUCACCAUGCUAUAAUACACUCACACACACUGGCCAGCUCUUGUGAUAAAAUUCUCUUUAUAGCUAGAGUUGCUGCAGCCAUUUAGAUUUCCAAGCUCAUUAAAAAGGUACAGCAGGAAUUUUUUGCAGACUCCUGCCAAAUUGGCACAUAACUAGAGAUGCUAGUCUAAUACAGAUGCCCUAAACCCUAGAUGUUGCUCCUCAGGGGAGCUGGAGUGUAUAUUGGUGAAGUGAGAACUUUACUGCAAUCAUGUUAAGCAAAUAGUGGCAACAUCAACCCGUCAACAGAAGUCGUCAGGCUCAUGAGAAAUGAAAUAUUGUCUAAUUCAUCAAUCUAAAUAACCAUGGCCAUGGCUGGGCAGAUUGUAUAAACAAUCUCUCUCAGAUUGUAUAAAACCUCUCUCCUCCAUGAAAUAUUCACCUGUUGUCUGCUGCCAAAACCAAUAAACCACCUUCUUGGCUGAGUCAUCUAAACAUUUCCUUUGACAGCAGCAGCUUUCAACUCCAACUGCAAGGCCAAGUUGCAUGACAAAUAUACUAUUGGCCCUAUGUUUGGCUAUGAGUGCUGUUUUCUACCAGCCCAUUAAAAACAUGCCCUACUGUUGUGGAUGAAGCGCCAAUUGUCCUUGGAAAGCACAUUGAAAAGAACAAUGGAUCAUUUUUCUGUGGCUCUGUAACAUGUAGAUGGAUUUUGUUAAAAUAGCUUAGUGUUACAAAGCCAUGAAAUCAAACUUUCUCCUCCCCUCCAUAUGGCUUGCCCCAUCCAUAUGUAUGCACACACAGGCACAUGACAUUUCAUCUUCAAAUUCCUUGCAGGACAUUUGGUCUUGCCCAGAAUGUCCCUAAGACAUUUGGUUUGUGCCCAAACAUCUUUGAUAUUUGCAGGACCAUUUUGUCCCAUCCAAAAUGUCCAUAAGUCAUUUGGUUCAUGCCAAAAUUUCUUGAUACUUACAGGACAGUUUGGUCCUAUCCAAAUGUCUGUAAGACAGUUGGUCCAUGCCAAGAAGUUCUUGAGAUUUACAGGACAAUUUGGUCCUGUCUAAAUGUCCAUGGAGACAUUUGGUCAACACCAAAAGCUUCUUGAAAUUUGACCAGAUGUCAUAUGGACGUUUUGGACAGGACCAAAUUUCAAGGAAUUUUUGGCACUGACUAAAUGUCUAAUAGAUAUAUGUCAGCACUGAAGCAUAGAAAAAUAUUUGUCAGCGCUGUAGCACAGAGUUAGCAACACAUAUUUGUCUGCUAACUCUUUAAAUUGUGUGCUGGAGAUGGGGUUAAAUCCCAUAGGAUUUGUCCCAUGAUUAUUUUAUGCCCUGCUUGAUGUCCCUUUUUCUUUUGGGAUCCCUAUACUAAAAUGGUCUAUAAUUUAUAGACUGUAAAUCACCCAAAGUUUAUAUGACAUUUUUUAGAUUCUCUCAGCAAUGGCUCUAUGUAAGUUUGACAGAUUUCUAAAUGCACCCUCUGUGGAUAUGGCACAUCUGCAUUUCAGCACAAUUACAUUUUCCGUGUAGCUGAAUUGCGAGAAGAGUUAUCAAGUGCAUAGUUAGCAUGACUGGGACUGGUUAGUAGAAGACAUCUACUUCAACUUCAAUUGUGUGAAGUGGCCAGGUUGUGUUUUACCUUUCUUACACAAAUCAUAUCUAUAAUUAUUUGCAGUUAUUGAAAAUAGAACUUUUUUUCUUCAGUUUUUGGCUUCCAUGUGGCAUAUGGAGUUCCCAGGCAAGAAAUCAGAUCUGAGCCACAGUCACGACCCAAGCUGCCAGUGUGGCAAUGCUGGAUCCUUAACCCACUUUCCUGGACUGGGGAUCAAACCUGAGCCCCAGCACUCCCAAGAAGCCACCGAUCCAGUUGCGCCUCAACAGGAACUCCUAAAGUAGAACUUUUGCCAAACAAUCCAAGUGCAGAAUUUUGUUAGACUUUUUUAAAUGAAAAAAAUGCCAGUACUUCAUAAUCUUUUCUUUCAUUCUCAAUUUGAGAACAGUUUUUAAAUUAUGGGGUUCUUAUAAAAUAUCUAGCUUAUCUUUAUUACAUUCAUUAUAUUCAGCACUUUCUGUUCAUAAUGAUAUAUAAUUUUCGUUAUAUUCAAUCUUAGUAUGAUAACAGAUGUAAGUGAUAUAAAGAAUUUUUAAAAGUGCAGACAUAACAUGGAGUUCCCAUUGCGGCACAGCAGAAAAGAAUCUGACUAGGAACCACGAGGUUGUAGGUUCAAUCCCUGACCUCGCUCAGUGGGUUAAGGAUCCAGCGUUGCCAUGAGCUGUGGUGUAGGUCACAGACGUGGCUUGAUGCUGGCAUUGCUGUGGCUCUGGCGUAGGCAUAGCCGUAGCUUCAAUUAGACCCCUAACCUGGGAACCUCCAUAUGCCACAGGUGUGGC